GAUGAAGAACGUAGCGAAAUGCGAUAAGUAAUGCGAAUUGCAGAAUUUCCGUGAGUCAUCGAAUCUUUGAACGCACAUUGCGCCCACUGGUAUUCCGGUGGGCAUGCCUGUUCGAGCGUCAUUAUCCUCCCUCAAACCCCGGGUUUGGUGUUGGACCCAAGUUGUGUGAACAACUGGUCUCAAAGACAAUGACGGCGUCCGUGGGACCCUCGGUGCAACGAGCUUUUAGGAGCACGCAUCGAGUUGCAAGGACCUUCCGGGCCGGUCUCCUUUACCAUUUUACAAGGUUGACCUCGGAUCAGGCAGGAAUACCCGCUGAACUUAAGCAUAUCAAUAAGCGGAGGA
This 345-nucleotide unclassified non-coding RNA is filed under the name soil metagenome. RNAcentral describes it as "partial contains 5.8S ribosomal RNA, internal transcribed spacer 2, and large subunit ribosomal RNA". The stretch from base 1 to 121 matches the Rfam family "5.8S ribosomal RNA", at positions 35 to 154 of the family's 154-position model. The record is from RNAcentral.